GAUGAACGCUAGCGGCAGGCUUAACACAUGCAAGUCGAGGGGUAGAGGCUUUCGGGCCUUGAGACCGGCGCACGGGUGCGUAACGCGUAUGCAAUCUGCCUUUCACAGAGGGAUAGCCCAGAGAAAUUUGGAUUAAUACCUCAUAGCAUAACACAACCGCAUGGUUGAGUUAUUAAAGUCACAACGGUGAAAGAUGAGCAUGCGUCCCAUUAGUUAGUUGGUAAGGUAACGGCUUACCAAGACUUCGAUGGGCAGGGGUCCUGAGAGGGAGAUCCCCCACACUGGUACUGAGACACGGACCAGACUCCUACGGGAGGCAGCAGUGAGGAAUAUUGGUCAAUGGGCGCAAGCCUGAACCAGCCAUGCCGCGUGCAGGAUGACGGUCCUAUGGAUUGUAAACUGCUUUUGUACGAGAAGAAACACUCCUUCGUGAAGGAGCUUGACGGUAUCGUAAGAAUAAGGAUCGGCUAAUUCCGUGCCAGCAGCCGCCGUAA
Molecule: ribosomal RNA, 494 nt
Filed under: uncultured bacterium
Lineage: Bacteria
Description: partial 16S ribosomal RNA
Rfam family: Bacterial small subunit ribosomal RNA
Source: RNAcentral